AAGUCGUAACAAGGUUUCCGUAGGUGAACCUGCGGAAGGAUCAUUAAUGAAUAUCUAUGGCGUUUGGUUGUUGCUGGCUCCUCGGAGCAUUUGUGCACGCCCGUCAUUUUUUCAUCCAUCCACCUGUGAACCCAAUUGUAGAUCUGGAUAACUCUCGCCUUCUAUUUUGAAGCGGAUACGAGGAUUGCUGUGUCGCAAGGCCCGGCUCUCCUUGAAUUUCCAGGUCUAUGUCUUUUUUACACACCCCAACUGAAUCAUAUUGAAUGUAGUCAAAUGGGCUUCUAUGCCUAUAAAACACUAUACAACUUUCAGCAACGGAUCUCUUGGCUCUC
Molecule: unclassified non-coding RNA, 332 nt
Filed under: Psathyrella sp.
Lineage: Eukaryota; Fungi; Basidiomycota; Agaricomycetes; Agaricales; Psathyrellaceae
Description: partial internal transcribed spacer region
Rfam family: Eukaryotic small subunit ribosomal RNA (bases 1-46)
Source: RNAcentral